Long non-coding RNA from Canis lupus familiaris (dog), 1660 nucleotides. RefSeq lists it as uncharacterized. The record is from RefSeq and is a predicted model, not a curated record. The transcript is spliced from 4 exons. Lineage: Eukaryota; Metazoa; Chordata; Mammalia; Carnivora; Canidae.
CACAAGCGAAGCAACUAUGGAAUCCUGAACACUUGGAACAGACGUUGCAUAUAAAGCCUGGCGCAGUGCUGUGCUGAGCCACAAAGUGCUUGCACCUGCAGCGAAUGGGCCGCAUCCCCGCCCCAGAGGGACGAAGAGCAUCUCCCCUGGGCCUGGGGCCUCACCAGAGCACUCACACCAGCAGGGCCCCGUGGGCACUUGCCAUGUGCCAAGCACAGAGCUGACCAUUCUACGUGGGCUGUUUAAUCGUCACGGCAACCUGGUGAGGCAACCCAGGAGAGAGAUGGACACCAGGGGGCAGAGUGACGCUGUGGCCAGUCCGUGACCCGCACACCAGGCCUGGACUCCUGCGAGGACAGGUUGGAGGCCUGCGGCUCCCUGGUCACAUGCCCAGGUGGGAUUCGGUCCCGUGGUAUGUCUGUCCCCAAGACAAGGACACUGCACGGCCUCAGAAGCCAGGCGCCUGGACCCUCCUCCCCUCACAGCCCCUCCACCCUCAGGUCCUCCCCUAUUCUGGCCACUCAGUCUGAUCGUGCUGUGGUUUGCUGGUGGCUUCCACAGAGUGGGGUACCCAGGGCCCAGCACCGCCCUUGGGGGUGGGAGGGUCAGCUGGGUCCAGCACGGCUCUGCACACACCGUCCCGUGGACGCACCUUGGGGUCCCGUCAGCCCUCCUGGACUCGGUGCCGACCGUGGAAACUGCCGGGCUGCACGUCCCAUCUCAGUCCUUUCCACCAAACACACCUUAGCCUCAGUUUCCUUAACUGUCGGAGGACGGAGGUAGCACCUGCCAAGUGCAAGCCACAUCGGGGAAAGAGGCGAGAAGGGCUGGUGGCCACCAGGGGCACCCGAGCGCCGCCACCCAGGGCAGCCAGUCGGGGGCGGGGCCCUUGCACCUGCCACCGCUGGGCCGACCCGCAGCACCUGCCCAGGGACGCUGGCCGUCCUCUCCUUGCGCCUCCCCCGCCCUCCUGGAAGGCCCAGUGUGUCGGGCGGCCCACUCCCCGGACGCACAUGCAAACCCCAGGUGCUGUGGCCAAUGAGCAGGGCAAAGGGCACCUGGUGGGAACAGUGGGGACGGCGACUGGGAAGGAUGCUUGUUUGCUGAAAGAAUGGAGAUGACCGGAGCCCGGCCACGGCCAAGAAUACGACAGAGCGGAGUCGGCUCUCUCCACACAGUCUCUGCCGCUCACCUGGCCUCUGGUGUCUCACGCUGACCCUCACCGUCGUCCUGUUCCCCACUCCCAGGACGGGGUCCCCUCUGAGGAGAAUGACAAGCUGGCCCAGGUGGUAAAGUUAAUGGGUCAGGGGGGUGACACAUGGGACACAAAACAGAUAUCUGACUCCCAGCUCUUCCUCUUGGCAACGACCUCUUUCUGGUCUGACGGGGAAGGCACAAAUGCUCACACAACCCCCUUCCUCUUCGUGGGGGAUGAAGCCAAGGGUCAGCACUUUGACCUGGCUUAGCUGGGAGAAAAAGUCCCAUUUCCAAAGUGUCUGUCAUGUCCCUGGCAGCCAAGGGAAUGUCAGGAGGACACAUCUAUGACGGUUAAAUUUUUUAAAGAUUUUAUUUACUUAUUCAUGAGAGACACAGAGAGAGAGAGGCAGAGGCACAGGCAGAGGGAGAAGCAGGCUCCAGGCAGGGAGCCCAAUGGACUCGA